RNAcentral lists this non-coding RNA (18 nucleotides) under Arabidopsis thaliana (thale cress). RNAcentral also lists the same sequence under 2 other names. Lineage: Eukaryota; Viridiplantae; Streptophyta; Magnoliopsida; Brassicales; Brassicaceae. The record is from RNAcentral.
AGCUGGUUCCCUCCGAAG